GACGAACGCUGGCGGCGUGCUUAACACAUGCAAGUCGAACGGUGAAGCGCCUUCCUUUUUGGUGGGUGUGGAUGAGUGGCGAACGGGUGAGUAACACGUGAGUAACCUGCCCCCUUCUUCUGGAUAACCGCAUGAAAGUGUGGCUAAUACGGGAUAUUCUGGGUCUGUCGCAUGAUGGGUCUGGGAAAGAUAUUGUUUCGGUGGGGGAUGGGCUCGCGGCCUAUCUGCUUGUUGGUGGGGUGAUGGCCUACCAAGGCGGGGACGAGUAGCCGGCCUGGGAGGGUGGACGGCCACACUGGGACUGAGAAACGGCCCAGACUCCUACGGGCAGCAGCAGGGGGGAAUAUUGCACAAUGGGCGCAAGCCUGAUGCAGCGACGCCGCGUGAGGGAUGGAGGCCUUCGGGUUGUGAACCUCUUUCGCCAGUGAAGCAGGCCUGCCUUGUUUGUGGGCGGGUUGACGGUAGCUGGAUAAGAAGCGCCGGCUAACUACGUG
This 494-nucleotide ribosomal RNA is filed under the name uncultured bacterium. Its description in RNAcentral is "partial 16S ribosomal RNA". It matches the Rfam family "Bacterial small subunit ribosomal RNA", at positions 28 to 507 of the family's 1533-position model. The record is from RNAcentral.